This 82-nucleotide transfer RNA is filed under the name Oryctolagus cuniculus (rabbit). It matches the Rfam family "tRNA". Rfam says of the family: Transfer RNA (tRNA) molecules are approximately 80 nucleotides in length. Their secondary structure includes four short double-helical elements and three loops (D, anti-codon, and T loops). Further hydrogen bonds mediate the characteristic L-shaped molecular structure. tRNAs have two regions of fundamental functional importance: the anti-codon, which is responsible for specific mRNA codon recognition, and the 3' end, to which the tRNAs corresponding amino acid is attached (by aminoacyl-tRNA synthetases). tRNAs cope with the degeneracy of the genetic code in two manners: having more than one tRNA (with a specific anti-codon) for a particular amino acid; and 'wobble' base-pairing, i.e. permitting non-standard base-pairing at the 3rd anti-codon position. Lineage: Eukaryota; Metazoa; Chordata; Mammalia; Lagomorpha; Leporidae. The record is from Rfam by way of RNAcentral.
GGUGCAGUGGCAUAGUGGGUAAAGCUACCACCUGUAGUGCUGGCAUCCCAUAUGGGCCCUGGUUCGAGUCCCGGCUGCUCCA